Molecule: ribosomal RNA, 255 nt
Filed under: Francisella tularensis subsp. holarctica
Lineage: Bacteria; Pseudomonadati; Pseudomonadota; Gammaproteobacteria; Thiotrichales; Francisellaceae
Description: partial 23S ribosomal RNA
Rfam family: Bacterial large subunit ribosomal RNA
Source: RNAcentral
GGAUCGAAGCCCCUGUUAACGGCUGCCUUAACUAUAACGGUCAUAAGUUAGCUAAAUUCCUUGUCGGGUAAUUUCCGACCUGCACGAAUGGCGUAACGAUGGCCACACUGUCUCCACCAGAGACUCAGUGAAAUUGAAAUCGAUGUGAAGAUGCAGUGUACCCGCGGUUAGACGGAAAGACCCCGUGAACCUUUACUAUAGCUUUGAACUGGACUUUGAAUAUUUAUGUGUAGGAUAGGUGGGAGACCAUGAAGC